This 169-nucleotide ribosomal RNA is filed under the name uncultured bacterium. RNAcentral describes it as "partial 16S ribosomal RNA". It matches the Rfam family "Bacterial small subunit ribosomal RNA", at positions 1332 to 1500 of the family's 1533-position model. The record is from RNAcentral.
UCGCUAGUAAUCGCGAAUCAGAAUGUCGCGGUGAAUACGUUCCCGGGUCUUGUACACACCGCCCGUCACACCAUGGGAGUCGGAUAUGCCCGAAGUCAGUGACCCAACCAUAUGGAGGGAGCUGCCGAAGGUGGAGCCGAUAACUGGGGUGAAGUCGUAACAAGGUAAC